AGAGAGAGAGAGAGAGAGAGAGAGAGAUAGAGAGAGAGAGAGAAUCAAAAUUUUGCUGAUACAAUACAACUGGGGGGAAAUGAUGAGACUGUUUCUGUGACAGGUUACUCAAGGGAUGAGAUAGCAAUAGAAGAGAUCAUGGACAAGAGAGACUUCUGGCACCAACAACAUUUAAUCAUCCAAAUCAGUGGUCCUGUCUGAAAUUGUCUGGAAUUCAUCUUAAAAUCCAAUGCUCAGAUCUGGCACUCACAUUCCUGCUUCCAAGUCAUUUUCCUGUGUGUGAGCUGACAAUUUCAUCCAUGAUUACACUGUUUCAUUGCUAUUUCUGAGGGACCACUUUGUCAUUUUUCUUCCUAAAGACAGGCUUCAAGUAUAGCAUCUUCUCAAGUAUAUCUUUCUCCAAAGGACUUGCACCUCAAACAGAUGGAUAUUUCUUGAUAUCUCCAGCUGUUGCAAAGCAAAUCCAGACCAUUCCCUGGUGCCCAUCCUUUCUGUUCUUCUUGCAUCACAGGCUGGAUGGAGCCAGGCAGCUAACUUUAGCAUCUUGCAAGCUAUCUUUUUCUGAAUUCAUCUUCUUGUCCUGGCAACCAUGUGGAGCCUGCACAUUAAACUUCCAGCUUUUUUGUUGUCUACUGCUGCAUCUAAUUCCAGUCUUAGAACUACACAGAUGCCUUGUUUGCUGCAUGUCCACCUGAAACAAAGCCAUCCAUCAACUGUCUUUACAGUUUCAGGAGAACAGAGUCAUCAACAUAAAUAUAGGCAGACAUCAAACUGCCAUGGAUCAAAAGUCCUGUUAUAGUGUGAUCUCACAAACUCUUAUGUAGCAAGUGCUCCAAUUGAGUUCAGCUGUUGUUUGGCUGUCUACCUUCUGAGGUUCUUCUUUGCCUACUACUGUUGGGGUUAAUUAAGAUUUACUGCUCCCUGUGAAUCUUCAGUCAACAAAGCAACAGUCUUGAGAAGAGCUCAAAGAAUCUGACCUUGGAAAAAGUAUCGAUAUAUCUUUUGGUUUUUGCUAAAGAAAUGCCAAAUUUCACAGCAGGAUCACUGAAUGCUCCAACAAGAGAAAGAUAAUGAAUCAACUGCCUUCUUGUCCUAAAAUCCUGUUUGUCUUCUUGCUUACACUAAAUUCAUAUCACCACAAUGCACAUCCAAAAAUCUUUAAGGUGGGACACAAGUGUCACUCUCAAUGAGGAAGAUUGGAUCGCUUGAUCAAGAUCCAGAUGUUGGGCUUCUCUUCUUUCCCUCCUCACAGAUGCAUAAUGACCUACAAAUAAGGGAAACAGAACACAACUGAGGUACCUCCACCUCUUCUUUUCCUCUGCUUCACCAAAUCAUUGGACCAUAAUGUCAUGAAUCAACCACUCAGAUUGAAAUCCAAGUGAAAUGUUCUUGGAAAUUCCAUGGUUUGAAGCCGAGACACGUAGCGACCUCGUCUUGUUUGGCUGGCCAUGUUUUCUUCCAGCUGAAGGAAGAACCAGUUGCAUGCAGGUGAAGCUAAUCCAUGGAGGCAGAUGAAUUGUCACUGUUUCAGUAGAUUACAGGGUAUGAGAAAGGGCAAGAAGUUGUCUUUAAUCUUCAGUGAAGGUGAAGGCUUUGAAUUAUUACUAUCAAGAAUACUUGGAUACAAUUAUUACUCAAUAUCAAUUCUUCUUACUAUUAAGAUUUGCACAUCUAUACUGCUUAAUGUUCAUUGCUGUUGCACGCAAAGUUCCAUGGAGUAUGUUUGCCUUGACUGUUUGUUGAUCUCACUCUUCUGAGGUUUUCUGUGAACAUGCCUGUGAAAAGUGUUUUGGAGAAUUAGUACUGAUGAAUUAAGAGAACACAC
Molecule: non-coding RNA, 1825 nt
Organism: Musa acuminata subsp. malaccensis (wild Malaysian banana)
Lineage: Eukaryota; Viridiplantae; Streptophyta; Magnoliopsida; Zingiberales; Musaceae
Source: RefSeq, a predicted model, not a curated record